This 176-nucleotide ribosomal RNA is filed under the name uncultured Marinilabiliaceae bacterium. RNAcentral's name for it is "partial 16S ribosomal RNA". It matches the Rfam family "Bacterial small subunit ribosomal RNA", at positions 1207 to 1382 of the family's 1533-position model. Lineage: Bacteria; Pseudomonadati; Bacteroidota; Bacteroidia; Marinilabiliales; Marinilabiliaceae. The record is from RNAcentral.
UCCAGGGCUACACACGUGUUACAAUGGUCGGUACAAAGAGCAGCCACUUGGUGACAAGGCGCUAAUCUCAAAAGCCGAUCUCAGUUCGGAUCGAAGUCUGCAACUCGACUUCGUGAAGUUGGAUUCGCUAGUAAUCGCGCAUCAGCCAUGGCGCGGUGAAUACGUUCCCGGGCCUU